This 381-nucleotide long non-coding RNA is filed under the name Mus spicilegus (steppe mouse). RNAcentral describes it as "lncRNA (ENSMSIG00000018870.1)". The record is from RNAcentral. Lineage: Eukaryota; Metazoa; Chordata; Mammalia; Rodentia; Muridae.
CCAUCAGCCUACAGUUACAGAGAUUCCGGACGCUGGGCAUGAUGGGAGCUAACUGUGAGAGUCUGUGAAUCCUAGGCAGCUGCGUUAACUGUUGCAGCGGCAACGUCUUUCUAGUCUGUCUGUCUGUCAGUAACUAUGUGCUGGGUUCUGCUGCAUGUCUGCGGUUGACCACUGGAAGGAGGUGCAGAAGCUGCAGUAACAGCCGUGAUUCCAGCAAGGUCUGCCCUCAGUGUUCUACCUGGCUGAGAUGCUCCAAUGACGCCCGAGAUGAGAGCAGCCUGGCGUAGCUGCUACAACUGGGGGAUUCUCGGUUCUUUCUGGACACCGGUGUCUCAAGUUCCAAGGCCAGCUCUUCUGAGGCGAAGGUGGACCCCUCUCUGA